RNAcentral lists this ribosomal RNA (410 nucleotides) under uncultured microorganism. Its description in RNAcentral is "bacterial SSU rRNA". It matches the Rfam family "Bacterial small subunit ribosomal RNA", at positions 509 to 917 of the family's 1533-position model. The record is from RNAcentral.
CAGCCGCCGCGGUAAUACGUAGGGGGCGAGCGUUGUCCGGAAUUAUUGGGCGUAAAGCGCGCGCAGGCGGUCCUUUAAGUCUGAUGUGAAAGCCCACGGCUCAACCGUGGAGGGUCAUUGGAAACUGGGGGACUUGAGUGCAGGAGAGGAGAGCGGAAUUCCACGUGUAGCGGUGAAAUGCGUAGAGAUGUGGAGGAACACCAGUGGCGAAGGCGGCUCUCUGGCCUGUAACUGACGCUGAGGCGCGAAAGCGUGGGGAGCAAACAGGAUUAGAUACCCUGGUAGUCCACGCCGUAAACGAUGAGUGCUAAGUGUUAGAGGGGUCACACCCUUUAGUGCUGCAGCUAACGCGAUAAGCACUCCGCCUGGGGAGUACGGCCGCAAGGCUGAAAUUUAAAGGAAUUGGCGGG